UGACAGCCGCCGCGGUAAUACGGAUGGUGCACGCGUGGUUCGGAAUUAUUGGGCGUAAAGCGUGCGUAGGCGGACUGUUAAGUCUGAUGUGAAAUCCCGCGGCUCAACCGCGGACGUGCAUUGGAUACUGGCAGUCUUGAGUCCUGGAGAGGAGAGCGGAAUUCCUAGUGUAGAGGUGAAAUUCGUAGAUAUUAGGAGGAACACCAGUGGCGAAAGCGGCUCUCUGGACCGUGAUCGACGCUGAGGAGCGAAAGCUAGGGGAGCAAACAGGAUUAGAUA
This 279-nucleotide ribosomal RNA is filed under the name uncultured bacterium. RNAcentral describes it as "partial 16S ribosomal RNA". It matches the Rfam family "Bacterial small subunit ribosomal RNA", at positions 506 to 784 of the family's 1533-position model. The record is from RNAcentral.